UUAUUUGAGAGUUUGAUCCUGGCUCAGGAUGAACGCUGGCGGCGUGCCUAACACAUGCAAGUUGAGCGAUUUACUUCGGUAAAGAGCGGCGGACGGGUGAGUAACGCGUGGGUAACCUACCCUGUACACACGGAUAACAUACCGAAAGGUAUGCUAAUACGGGAUAAUAUAUUUGAGAGGCAUCUCUUGAAUAUCAAAGGUGAGCCAGUACAGGAUGGACCCGCGUCUGAUUAGCUAGUUGGUAAGGUAACGGCUUACCAAGGCGACGAUCAGUAGCCGACCUGAGAGGGUGAUCGGCCACAUUGGAACUGAGACACGGUCCAAACUCCUACGGGAGGCAGCAGUGGGGAAUAUUGCACAAUGGGCGAAAGCCUGAUGCAGCAACGCCGCGUGAGUGAUGAAGGCCUUCGGGUCGUAAAACUCUGUCCUCAAGG
Molecule: ribosomal RNA, 434 nt
Filed under: Clostridioides difficile
Lineage: Bacteria; Bacillati; Bacillota; Clostridia; Peptostreptococcales; Peptostreptococcaceae
Description: bacterial SSU rRNA
Rfam family: Bacterial small subunit ribosomal RNA
Source: RNAcentral